This is an RNA transcript of Hordeum vulgare subsp. vulgare (domesticated barley), 1452 nucleotides long. It is a transcript of the gene named F-box/kelch-repeat protein At3g61590-like, with no coding region annotated. The record is from RefSeq and is a predicted model, not a curated record. NCBI's taxonomy places the organism in Eukaryota, Viridiplantae, Streptophyta, Magnoliopsida, Poales, Poaceae. The transcript is spliced from 3 exons.
UUGCGGCUGCUCCGCCGCCGCCUCCCCCAUGACCACGCCGGACGGCGAGAUGUGGCCCACCCUCCACUACCGCCGCCGCUCGCCGCUGGAAGACGAGGAUCUGCUCGCGGAGAUCCUCCUCCGCCUCCCGCCGCAGCCGUCCUCCCUCCCCCGCGCCUCCGCCGUCUGCAGGCGCUGGCGCGGCGUCGUCUCCGACCGUGGCUUCCUCCGCCGCUACUGCCGGCACCACCGCCGCAGCCCUCCCCUCCUCGGUUUCUUCCGCAACGACCUGCGAGGCAUCUCCUACACGCCUGCCAUGGAGGCCCCCGACCGUGUCCCCGCCGGGCGCUUCUCCGUGCAUCUCGGCGACCCCGGCUACCACUUCCGUCUCCUCAGCUGCCGCCACGGCCUCGUGCUCAUCUCCCACUCGUCGCAGAGCCAGGUCCUGGUGUGGGACCCCGUCACCGGCGACCAGCACCGCAUUGCCGCUCCUCUGGGGUUCGACAUGAACAGUACCCCCAUGGACGGGGCCGUGCUUCGCGUUGCCGGCGACGCCCACCACUUCCAGGUGGUAUUGGUAAGCUACAAACAGGAUGAUGAACAGGCGACCGUCUCCAUUUACUUGUCCGAGACCGGUGGAUGGAGUGAUCUUAUCUCAACACCGGUUCCAGGCAAGGCCAUGGAUUAUGAAGGCAUGCCCGCUGUGCUGGCCGGGGAUUCCAUUUACUGGCUGCUACCUGGGGAUGGUAUUAAUGUAAUUCUAGAAGUUGAUUUGGAUAACCAGAGCCUAGCUGCGAUCCCGGUGCCGAUGAAUAUGUUUGCCCAAGGUCAAGACUUGAUGGUUAUGCGAGCAGAGGGUGGCCGGUUGGGCAUACUCUCCAUGUCCAUAUUCAAGGCCGAGUUAUGGAAGAGGAAUACCGACGGUGAUGGUGUUGCUUCUUGGGUGUUGGGACAAACUAUUCAACUGGACAAGCUACUUCCCCUAAAUUCAGAUAAGACAGGCCACAUAUCGAUGCUAGCUUAUGCUGAGGAAAAUAAUGUGGCUUUCUUGCGUACGGUUGCCGGUAUCUUCAUGGUCCAGCUCGAGUCAUGGCAGUUCAGUAAACUUCCUGAAAACAACAACGCUGUUGUCUGUUAUCCAUUCGAAAGUGUCUAUGCUGCAGAAGCAGGCAUUGGUGGUGCCAUGGAAUAGAUCAAGAUAUGCUAGUAUGAUGUACUGGUUGAACAGGCAAGCUUAUCUUCUGAAUAUAUGUUGAGUUACCAGACUUACGUUUCGGUGGAUGAGUUGCAGAAGUGGCCUGUUUGAAGCUAUCCACACAGAAACUUACCCUUUAUGUAGGAUGCAUUGGUCAGCUCUGAAGUGGAAUUAAUCACUUAUUUUGCUCAAACCCGUCUUGUUAUCGAACACAGUCAGUUGGCCAGCUGACAUGAAGACAUCACAUUUGCUUGUAUUAAUCAAUACCUUUGACGUGA